GAUGAACGCUGGCGGCGUGCCUAAUACAUGCAAGUCGAGCGAACAGGCGAGGAGCUUGCUCCUCUGACGUUAGCGGCGGACGGGUGAGUAACACGUGGAUAACCUACCUAUAAGACUGGGAUAACUUCGGGAAACCGGAGCUAAUACCAGAUAAUAUAUUGAACCGCAUGGUUCAAUAGUGAAAGACGGUUUUGCUGUCACUUAUAGAUGGAUCCGCGCCGCAUUAGCUAGUUGGUAAGGUAACGGCUUACCAAGGCAACGAUGCGUAGCCGACCUGAGAGGGUGAUCGGCCACACUGGAACUGAGACACGGUCCAGACUCCUACGGGAGGCAGCAGUAGGGAAUCUUCCGCAAUGGGCGAAAGCUUGACGGAGCAACGCCGCGUGAGUGAUGAAGGUCUUCGGAUCGUAAAACUCUGUUAUUAGGGAAGAACAAAUGUGUAAGUAACUAUGCACGUCUUGACGGUACCUAAUCAGAAAGCCACGGCUAACUACGUG
RNAcentral lists this ribosomal RNA (497 nucleotides) under uncultured bacterium. Its description in RNAcentral is "partial 16S ribosomal RNA". It matches the Rfam family "Bacterial small subunit ribosomal RNA", at positions 28 to 507 of the family's 1533-position model. The record is from RNAcentral.